Molecule: ribosomal RNA, 253 nt
Filed under: uncultured bacterium
Lineage: Bacteria
Description: partial 16S ribosomal RNA
Rfam family: Bacterial small subunit ribosomal RNA
Source: RNAcentral
UACGAAGGGGGCUAGCGUUGCUCGGAAUCACUGGGCGUAAAGGGUGCGUAGGCGGGUCUUUAAGUCAGGGGUGAAAUCCUGGAGCUCAACUCCAGAACUGCCUUUGAUACUGGAGAUCUUGAGUUCGGGAGAGGUGAGUGGAACUACGAGUGUAGAGGUGAAAUUCGUAGAUAUUCGCAAGAACACCAGUGGCGAAGGCGGCUCACUGGCCCGAUACUGACGCUGAGGUGCGAAAGCGUGGGGAGCAAACAGG